GACGAGCUCUCCAAACGUUAUUCGGUAUUACUGGGCUUAAAGAGUUCGUAGGCGGUUUUACAGGUGAGGUGUGAAAGCCCUCGGCUUAACCGAGGAAUUGCGCUUCAAACCGUAAGGCUAGAGGGAGGUAGGGGUAUGCGGAACAGAUGGUGGAGCGGUGAAAUGCGUUGAUAUCAUCUGGAACACCGGUGGCGAAAGCGGCAUACUGGACCUUUUCUGACGCUGAGGAACGAAAGCUAGGGUAGCGAACGGG
This 253-nucleotide ribosomal RNA is filed under the name uncultured Rhodopirellula sp. RNAcentral's name for it is "partial 16S ribosomal RNA". It matches the Rfam family "Bacterial small subunit ribosomal RNA", at positions 524 to 776 of the family's 1533-position model. Lineage: Bacteria; Pseudomonadati; Planctomycetota; Planctomycetia; Pirellulales; Pirellulaceae. The record is from RNAcentral.